This 253-nucleotide ribosomal RNA is filed under the name uncultured bacterium. RNAcentral describes it as "partial 16S ribosomal RNA". It matches the Rfam family "Bacterial small subunit ribosomal RNA", at positions 524 to 776 of the family's 1533-position model. The record is from RNAcentral.
UACAGAGGGUGCAAGCGUUGGUCGGAAUUAUUGGGCGUAAAGGGAGUGUAGGCGGUUUGAUAAGUCUUCUGUGAAAUCUACGGGCUUAGCCUGUAACGUGCAGAGGAAACUGUCAGACUUGAGUGUCGGAGAGGAUAGGGGAAUACCCAGUGUAGAGGUGAAAUUCGUAGAGAUUGGGUGGAACACCAGUGGCGAAGGCGCCUGUCUGGCUGACAACUGACGCUGAGACUCGAAAGCAUGGGGAGCAAACAGG